This 254-nucleotide ribosomal RNA is filed under the name uncultured bacterium. Its description in RNAcentral is "partial 16S ribosomal RNA". It matches the Rfam family "Bacterial small subunit ribosomal RNA", at positions 524 to 777 of the family's 1533-position model. The record is from RNAcentral.
UACAGAGGGUGCAAGCGUUAAUCGGAAUUACUGGGCGUAAAGCGUGCGUAGUCGGUUAUUUAAGUCGGGCGUGAAAGCCCCGGGCUCAACCUGGGAAUUGCGUUCGAUACUGGAUAGCUAGAGUUCGGCAGAGGGAAGCGGAAUUUCGGGUGUAGCGGUGAAAUGCGUAGAUAUCCGAAGGAACAUCAGUGGCGAAAGCGGCUUCCUGGACCAGAACUGACGAUCAGGCACGAAAGCGUGGGGAGCAAACAGGG